UACGUAGGGGGCAAGCGUUGUCCGGAAUCAUUGGGCGUAAAGCGCGUGUAGGCGGCCAGAAAAGUCCGCUGUGAAAACUCGAGGCUCAACUUCGAGCUGUCGGUGGAAACUUUCUGGCUAGAGUCCGGAAGAGGAGAAUGGAAUUCCUGGUGUAGCGGUGAAAUGCGCAGAUAUCAGGAGGAACACCUGCGGUGUAGACGGCUUACUGGACCAUAACUGACGCUGAGGCACGAAAGCGUGGGUAGCAAACAGG
Molecule: ribosomal RNA, 253 nt
Filed under: uncultured bacterium
Lineage: Bacteria
Description: partial 16S ribosomal RNA
Rfam family: Bacterial small subunit ribosomal RNA
Source: RNAcentral